UACGUAGGGUGCAAGCGUUGUCCGGAAUUAUUGGGCGUAAAGAGCUCGUAGGCGGUUUGUCGCGUCUGCUGUGAAAACUCGGGGCUUAACCCCGGGCCUGCAGUGGGUACGGGCAGACUAGAGUGCGGUAGGGGAGACUGGAAUUCCUGGUGUAGCGGUGAAAUGCGCAGAUAUCAGGAGGAACACCGGUGGCGAAGGCGACUUUCUGGGCUGUAACUGACGCUGAGGCGCGAAAGCGUGGGGAGCAAACAGG
RNAcentral lists this ribosomal RNA (253 nucleotides) under uncultured bacterium. RNAcentral describes it as "partial 16S ribosomal RNA". It matches the Rfam family "Bacterial small subunit ribosomal RNA", at positions 524 to 776 of the family's 1533-position model. The record is from RNAcentral.